GCUGGCAGCCGACCAGGUGGGUCGGCAGCCCCUCCUGGCUCCCCCGUCUACCUUGACCUGGCCUACCUGCCCAGCGGGAGCAGCGCCCGGCUGCUGGACGAGGAGUUCUUCCGGCGGGUUCGUGCGCUCUGCUACGUCAUCAGUGGCCAGGACCAGCGUAAGGAAGAGGGCAUGCGGGCUGUCCUGGACGCCCUCCUGGCUGGCAAGCAGCAGUGGGACCGUGACCUCCAGGUGACCCUGAUCCCCACCUUCGACUCGGUGGCAAUGCACGAGUGGUAUGAGGAGACGCACGCACGGCACCAGGCUCUGGGCAUCACCGUGCUGGGCAGCAACAGCACCGUGUCCAUGCAGGACGAGGCCUUCCCCGCCUGCAAGGUGGAGUUCUAGCCCCGUGCCCGCCACCCAGCCCCUCAGCCCGGAGUCGACCACUGCCUGAGAGUCCCCCGCAUCAGAAAUAAACCAGGUACCCCAC
Molecule: long non-coding RNA, 472 nt
Organism: Enhydra lutris kenyoni (northern sea otter)
Lineage: Eukaryota; Metazoa; Chordata; Mammalia; Carnivora; Mustelidae
Exons: 2
Source: RefSeq, a predicted model, not a curated record